GAGAGUUUGAUUAUGYGCUCAGGAUGAACGCUGGCGGCGUGCCUAAUACAUGCAAGUCGAACGAAGAUCUUAGGGAAUAAGCUUGCUUAGGAAUUUUGAUCUUAGUGGCGGACUGGUGAGUAACACGUGAGCAACCUGGCUUUCAGAGGGGGACAACGGUUGGAAACGACCGCUAAUACCGCAUGACAUAGUUUUAAGGCAUCUUGAAACUAUCAAAGGAGCAAUCCGCUGAAAGAUGGGCUCGCGUCUGAUUAGAUAGUUGGUGAGGUAACGGCUCACCAAGUCGACGAUCAGUAGCCGGACUGAGAGGUUGAACGGCCACAUUGGGACUGAGAUACGGCCCAGACUCCUACGGGAGGCAGCAGUAGGGAAUAUUGCACAAUGGAGGAAACUCUGAUGCAGCAACGCCGCGUGAAGGAAGACGGUUUUCGGAUUGUAAACUUCUUUUCCCAAAGAAGAAAAAAAUGACGGUAUUUGGGGAAUAAGCAUCGGCUAACUACGUGCCAGCAGCCGCGGUAAUACGUAGGAUGCAAGCGUUAUCCGGAUUUACUGGGUGUAAAGGGUGCGUAGGCGGACUUUCAAGUUGGAUGUGAAAACCCGGGGCUUAACCCCGUGAUUGCAUCCAAAACUGUAGGUCUUGAUUGGAGUAGAGGUAAGUGGAAUUCCGAGUGUAGCGGUGAAAUGCGCAGAUAUUCGGAAGAACACCGGUGGCGAAGGCGACUUACUGGGCUCUAAAUGACGCUGAGGCACGAAAGGGGGGGGGAGCAAACAGGAUUAGAUACCUGGUAGUCCACACUGUAAACGAUGAUAGCUAGGUGUAGGGGGUCUGACCCCCUCUGUGCCGGAGUUAACGCAAUAAGCUAUCCACCUGGGGAGUACGAUCGCAAGAUUGAAACUCAAAGGAAUUGACGGGGACCCGCACAAGCAGUGGAUUAUGUGGUUUAAUUCGAAGCAACGCGAAGAACCUUACCGAGUCUUGACAUUUAACUAACGAAGCAGAGAUGCAUUAGGUGCCCUUCGGGGAAAGUUAAAACAGGUGGUGCAUGGUUGUCGUCAGCUCGUGCCGUGAGGUGUUGGCUUAAGUGCCGCAACGAGCGCAACCCCUGCCAUUAGUUGCUACGCAAGAGCACUCUAAUGGGACCGCCGAUGACAAAUCGGAGGAAGGUGGGGAUGACGUCAAAUCAUCAUGCCCCUUAUGACUCGGGCCACACACGUAAUACAAUGGUCGUUAACAGAGGGAAGCAAGGGAGCGAUCCGGAGCCAAACCCUAAAAACGAUCUCAGUUCGGACUGUAGGCUGAAACUCGCCUGCACGAAGUUGGAAUUGCUAGUAAUCGCGGAUCAGCAUGCCGCGGUGAAUACGUUCCCGGGUCUUGUACACACCGCCCGUCACACCAUGGGAGUUUGUAACACCCGAAGUCGGUGACCCAACAGUAAUGAGGGAGCCGCCGAAGGUGGGAUAAGCGACUGGGGUGAAGUCGUAACAAGGCAGCCGUAGGAGAACCUGCGGCUGGAACACCUCCUU
This 1524-nucleotide ribosomal RNA is filed under the name uncultured bacterium. Its description in RNAcentral is "16S ribosomal RNA". It matches the Rfam family "Bacterial small subunit ribosomal RNA". The record is from RNAcentral.